Ictidomys tridecemlineatus (thirteen-lined ground squirrel) is the source of this 158-nucleotide small nuclear RNA. Its record names the gene U1. It matches the Rfam family "U1 spliceosomal RNA". Rfam says of the family: U1 is a small nuclear RNA (snRNA) component of the spliceosome (involved in pre-mRNA splicing). Its 5' end forms complementary base pairs with the 5' splice junction, thus defining the 5' donor site of an intron. The record is from Ensembl. NCBI's taxonomy places the organism in Eukaryota, Metazoa, Chordata, Mammalia, Rodentia, Sciuridae.
CUAAUUCUGGCUUCAAUACCAUGAUCACAAAGGUGCUUUUCCCACGUGAGGCUCAUCCAUUGCACUUUGGAUGUGCUAACUCCUGUGAUUUCCCCAAAUGUGAGAAACUCAACUGCAUAAUUUGUGGUAGUGGGGGAUUGCUUUCAUACUUUCCUCUG